CCUACGGGGGGCAGCAGUGGGGAAUAUUGGACAAUGGGGGGAACCCUGUUCCAGCCAUGCCGCGUGUGUGAAGAAGGCCCUCGGGUUGUAAAGCACUUUCAGUGAGGAAGAACGCCUGGUGGUUAAUACCCAUCAGGAAAGACAUCACUCACAGAAGAAACACCGGCUAACUCCGUGCCAGCAGCCGCGGUAAUACGGAGGGUGCGAGCGUUAAUCGGAAUUACUGGGCGUAAAGCGCGCGUAGGUGGCUUGAUAAGCCGGUUGUGAAAGCCCCGGGCUCAACCUGGGAACGGCAUCCGGAACUGUCAAGCUAGAGUGCAGGAGAGGAAGGUAGAAUUCCCGGUGUAGCGGUGAAAUGCGUAGAGAUCGGGAGGAAUACCAGUGGCGAAGGCGGCCUUCUGGACUGACACUGACACUGAGGUGCGAAAGCGUGGGUAGCAAACAGGAUUAGAUACCCUUGUAGUC
RNAcentral lists this ribosomal RNA (465 nucleotides) under Vreelandella stevensii. Its description in RNAcentral is "partial 16S ribosomal RNA". It matches the Rfam family "Bacterial small subunit ribosomal RNA", at positions 338 to 795 of the family's 1533-position model. The record is from RNAcentral. Lineage: Bacteria; Pseudomonadati; Pseudomonadota; Gammaproteobacteria; Oceanospirillales; Halomonadaceae.